GACGAACGCUGGCGGCGUGCUUAACACAUGCAAGUCGAACGGAAAGGCCCUGCUUUUGUGGGGUGCUCGAGUGGCGAACGGGUGAGUAACACGUGAGUAACCUGCCCUUGACUUUGGGAUAACUUCAGGAAACUGGGGCUAAUACCGGAUAGGAGCUCCUGCUGCAUGGUGGGGGUUGGAAAGUUUCGGCGGUUGGGGAUGGACUCGCGGCUUAUCAGCUUGUUGGUGGGGUAGUGGCUUACCAAGGCUUUGACGGGUAGCCGGCCUGAGAGGGUGACCGGCCACAUGGGGACUGAGAUACGGCCCAGACUCCUACGGGAGGCAGCAGUGGGGAAUAUUGCACAAUGGGCGGAAGCCUGAUGCAGCAACGCCGCGUGCGGGAUGACGGCCUUCGGGUUGUAAACCGCUUUCGCCUGUGACGAAGCGUGAGGGACGGUAAUGGGUAAAGAAGCACCGGCGAACUACGG
Molecule: ribosomal RNA, 467 nt
Filed under: uncultured bacterium
Lineage: Bacteria
Description: partial 16S ribosomal RNA
Rfam family: Bacterial small subunit ribosomal RNA
Source: RNAcentral